UACGGGGUAAACCUGAGAAACCCGAAAGGUCGAAAGAKGAAAUUCAUUCGCGUUUCGAUCGUUGAAGUUGAACGUUUGUAUGACGGAUGAUGUGUUUCGGCGCAUGAGUCUGCAUCUUAUGUUCUUCGAAUCGAUGUCGAACGCGUGCACUUUUCCUCUAGUAGGACGUCGUGAUCCGUUGGGUGUCUGUCUAAGACUCGGGGUGGAGCCCACGUGAUUUUUUGAUUAUGUGGACCCUCGAUGUUCCGACAGACUCGCUCGACGGUAUAAAUAUGGCGCGGGGCCGCUACAUUAGUUAGCGUUCGGCCCGCAGCAAGCACGUUUCGUGUUUGACGGCGAUCGGACCUAGUGCCGAUUCUGUCCCGGAACGACUGUUGGUUGCGGUGUUCUCGAACAGACCUCGAUUUGAAACGCCGAUCAACGACGCUAUAGAUUUGGGUACUUUCAGGACCCGUCUUGAAACACGGACCAAGGAGUCUAGCAUGUGCGCGAGUCAUUGGGACAUAACUAAACCUAAAGGCGUAAUGAAAGUAAAGGUUUACCUUGCGUAGACCGAGGGAGGAUGAGCGAUUUGCCCUUAAAAGUGAUCGCUUCGCACUCCCGGGGCGUCUCGUUCUCAUUGCGAGAAGAGGCGCACCAAGAGCGUACACGCUGGGACCCGAAAGAUGGUGAACUAUGCCUGGUCAGGACGAAGUCAGGGGAAACCCUGAUGGAGGUCCGUAGCGAUUCUGACGUGCAAAUCGAUCGUCGGAACKGGUAUAGGGGCGAAAGACUAAUCGAACCAUCUAGUAGCUGGU
RNAcentral lists this ribosomal RNA (797 nucleotides) under Dircemella sp. JJG307. RNAcentral describes it as "eukaryotic LSU rRNA". It matches the Rfam family "Eukaryotic large subunit ribosomal RNA", at positions 409 to 955 of the family's 3401-position model. The record is from RNAcentral. Lineage: Eukaryota; Metazoa; Arthropoda; Insecta; Coleoptera; Chrysomelidae.